This 176-nucleotide ribosomal RNA is filed under the name uncultured Bacillus sp. Its description in RNAcentral is "partial 16S ribosomal RNA". It matches the Rfam family "Bacterial small subunit ribosomal RNA", at positions 1207 to 1382 of the family's 1533-position model. Lineage: Bacteria; Bacillati; Bacillota; Bacilli; Caryophanales; Bacillaceae. The record is from RNAcentral.
UUCUGGGCUACACACGUGCUACAAUGGCCGGUACAGACGGACGCAAAGCCGCGAGGUGGAGCAAAUCCUAAAAAGCCGGUCUCAGUUCGGAUUGCAGGCUGCAAUUCGCCUGCAUGAAGUCGGAAUCGCUAGUAAUCGCAGGUCAGCAUACUGCGGUGAAUACGUUCCCGGGCCUU